GGCGGCAGGCCUAACACAUGCAAGUCGAACGGAUCCUUCGGGAUUAGUGGCGGACGGGUGAGUAACACGUGGGAACGUGCCCUUUGGUUCGGGACAACUCAGGGAAACUUGAGCUAAUACCGGAUGAGCCCUACGGGGGAAAGAUUUAUCGCCAUUGGAGCGGCCCGCGUCUGAUUAGCUUGUUGGUGAGGUAAAGGCUCACCAAGGCUACGAUCAGUAGCUGGUCUGAGAGGAUGAUCAGCCACAUUGGGACUGAGACACGGCCCAAACUCCUACGGGAGGCAGCAGUGGGGAAUCUUGCGCAAUGGGCGAAAGCCUGACGCAGCCAUGCCGCGUGAAUGAUGAAGGUCUUAGGAUUGUAAAAUUCUUUCAGCAGGGACGAUAAUGACGGUACCUGCAGAAGAAGCCCCGGCUAACUUCGUGCCAGCAGCCGCGGUAAUACGAAGGGGGCUAGCGUUGCUCGGAAUUACUGGGCGUAAAGGGCGCGUAGGCGGAUCGUUUAAUUAGAGGUGAAAGCCCAGGGCUCAACCCUGGAAUUGCCUUUAAUACUGGCGGUCUUGAAUAUGGCAGA
This 571-nucleotide ribosomal RNA is filed under the name uncultured Alphaproteobacteria bacterium. RNAcentral describes it as "bacterial SSU rRNA". It matches the Rfam family "Bacterial small subunit ribosomal RNA", at positions 38 to 655 of the family's 1533-position model. Lineage: Bacteria; Pseudomonadati; Pseudomonadota; Alphaproteobacteria. The record is from RNAcentral.